GUCCCUGGGGUCGCCUCCCGCUGCACCGCCCCGUGCACUGCCCCCCAGGCCCCAGCGCAGGUUGGCGGCGACGACGACGAGAACCCACCUCGGAGAGACGCAGGGACGGGCCUGGGGGGCGGGGACCACGGCUGCGGCCCAGGCGCGGGUGCUAAGGCCUUUCCCGUCUGGCAGGACGCGCCUCCUUCCAGACCUGCAGGUCCCGGUUCGCCUCCCGCCCCCGGAGCAUCUCCGUUUCGUGCACGGAGACUGUUGACAUCCCCGUUAGGAUUAAAACAAGACACCUGGAGUUUGGAGCCGGAAGGCCCUGGGAGCCCGCGUGGUCCAUCUCACAGAGAGGCCCCUGUCGCCCCCGGGCCCUGUCCGGAGGACAAGCAGGCCGGGCCCGAAGCGCAGGACAGGGCCCUCGCCCGCCUCCACCCAGCCGGGUGGCUCCCAGGGUGGGAUUCGGGGCGCUCGCCUCACCGGCCGCACCCCCGAGCCUGGAGCCUGUGCGCCCAUUUGUCGCCCCCCGUUCGGACGUGAACCGGAGUCCCGACCGGGUGUCCGGGCCGAGCGGCACCCCUGCGUGUCACAGCGGCCCUCCUCGGUUGGCACCCCCGUCGCUGGAAACACUCGCCUAGGAAGCCCCCCGGUGCCUCUCCGGGGAAGCAAGCGGCCUGCACCCCCUAUCUGGGCCCCCCUUCACCCACUUCCAGGGGGUUCUCUGAGUGCUUGCUUGCUCCAGGGUCUUCGGGGCUGAGAGCUGGGCAGGUUCGGGGUCAGGAAGAGCAGAAUUGGGGCUCGGCUGGUGGGGACAGUGUGCCCCCGGGCCGGGCCUUCCUCGUCUCGGUGGGGCUGUUACUCCUCGGUGCCCAGGAGUUGAGGGAGGGUUGCUGGCGGGCACCAGGUGCUGCACCUGGCGGGGAGAGGGGGUGAGGGGCCCCCAUUACUCUAGGGUGACAGCACACACCGGCUCUACGGGUUACUGGGUGCUGAUGGGGGACAGAGGCAAGGCCGUCGGCUGGCGAAGAGGAGGCCGGGCCUCCACGGAGGCCGGGUGUCUGCAGUCAGGAUCGGAGUCGGGGGGAGGUGCUGGGGGCUGUGGGCUUUGCACCUUGUGCCUCGGGACAGCCCAUGGACGGCAGCUGGCCGAGCACCAGGUGCACCAGGCUUGGCACAUCGAGUGCUCUUCUCCGCGUCCCGGGGCUUAUUCUUCUGGGGGCACCAACCGAGUGUGAUCCUGCCCGGCAGGGUGCCUGUGUGACCUGAGAAGACGCGCGUCGGCGUCGAGCGCAGUGUCCCGUCCGCGUUUGGUCGAAACGGUGGCUGCUGUCUUUAUUACGGGGCCUCUCUGCCUCCGGAGGGGUAUAAAGGCCCUGGGAGUUGGGGGCCCAGGAAGAUGGCAGCGCGGUCCUUUCCAUGCUCAGGUGGAUGGAAUGGUUUCCUUGGAGCAGCAUUUCCAAAGGGGGGCUCCUCAAGGCCUUGAGAUAGUCUAGAGGAAAAAACAAAAAAC
RNAcentral lists this long non-coding RNA (1495 nucleotides) under Canis lupus dingo (dingo). RNAcentral's name for it is "lncRNA (ENSCAFG00020006419.1)". The record is from RNAcentral. Lineage: Eukaryota; Metazoa; Chordata; Mammalia; Carnivora; Canidae.